Myotis lucifugus (little brown bat) is the source of this 75-nucleotide non-coding RNA. The record is from Rfam. NCBI's taxonomy places the organism in Eukaryota, Metazoa, Chordata, Mammalia, Chiroptera, Vespertilionidae.
GGUGGCACUUGGGUGACGCAUCCUGGAAUCGGGCUCCCUCCUCUCUGGUUCUGAGUGCAUCACCUGAGAACCACA